AUAAUGAUACUCCCGUCUUGAACGCGUCACUGCAUUGGGCGGCUGUGCGAGACCCGCACGGAGGUGGAAGUCCUGUGA
Molecule: non-coding RNA, 78 nt
Filed under: chicken gut metagenome
Description: pemK RNA
Rfam family: pemK RNA
Source: RNAcentral